RNAcentral lists this ribosomal RNA (520 nucleotides) under uncultured Glomus. RNAcentral describes it as "SSU rRNA". It matches the Rfam family "Eukaryotic small subunit ribosomal RNA", at positions 569 to 1091 of the family's 1831-position model. The record is from RNAcentral. Lineage: Eukaryota; Fungi; Glomeromycota; Glomeromycetes; Glomerales; Glomeraceae.
AGCAGCCGCGGUAAUUCCAGCUCCAAUAGCGUAUAUUAAAGUUGUUGCAGUUAAAAAGCUCGUAGUUGAAUUUCGGGGUCAGUAGGUUGGUCGUGCCACCGGUACGUACUGGUCUCACUGAUUCCUCCUUCCUGAAGAACCGUAAUGCCAUUAAUUUGGUGUUGCGGGGAAACAGGACUGUUACUUUGAAAAAUUAGAGUGUUUAAAGCAGGCUAACGCUUGAAUACAUUAGCAUGGAAUAAUGAAAUAGGACGAUCGAUCCUAUUUUGUUGGUUUCUAGGAUUGACGUAAUGAUUAAUAGGGAUAGUUGGGGGCAUUAGUACUCAAUUGUCAGAGGUGAAAUUCUUGGAUUUAUUGAAGACUAACUACUGCGAAAGCAUUUGCCAAGGAUGUUUCAUUAAUCAAGAACGAAAGUUAGGGGAUCGAAGACGAUCAGAUACCGUCGUAGUCUUAACCAUAAACUAUGCCGACUAGGAUCGGAUGAUGUUUAAUUUUAUUAAUGACUCAUUCGGUCGCCCGU